CACCACUCAAGCCUCGCUUGGUAUUGGGCGUCGCGGCUCCGCGCGCCUCAAAGUCUCCGGCUGAGCUGUCCGUCUCCCAGCGUUGUGACACACGAUCGCUCCGAGUUCGAACAGUCGCGGCCGUUAAACUUAUCUUAAA
Molecule: unclassified non-coding RNA, 139 nt
Filed under: uncultured Zasmidium
Lineage: Eukaryota; Fungi; Ascomycota; Dothideomycetes; Mycosphaerellales; Mycosphaerellaceae
Description: sequence contains ITS2
Source: RNAcentral